Molecule: ribosomal RNA, 459 nt
Filed under: uncultured bacterium
Lineage: Bacteria
Description: partial 16S ribosomal RNA
Rfam family: Bacterial small subunit ribosomal RNA
Source: RNAcentral
CCUACGUGCGGCAGCAGUGAGGAAUAUUGGUCAAUGGGCGCGAGCCUGAACCAGCCAAGUCGCGUGAGGGAAGACGGUCCUAUGGAUUGUAAACCUCUUUUGUCGGGGAGCAAAAGACGCCACGUGUGGCGUUCCGAGAGUACCCGAAGAAAAAGCAUCGGCUAACUCCGUGCCAGCAGCCGCGGUAAUACGGAGGAUGCGAUCGUUAUCCGGAUUUCUUGGGUUUAAAGGGUGCGCAGGCGGAAGAUCAAGUCAGCGGUAAAAUUGAGAGGCUCAACCUCUUCGAGCCGUUGAAAAUGGUUUUCUUGAGUGAGCGAGAAGUAUGCGGAAGGCGUGGUGUAGCGGUGAAAUGCAUAGAGAUCACGCAGAACUCCGAUUGAGAAGGCAGCAUACCGGCGCUCAACUGACGCUCAUGCACGAAAGUGUGGGUAUCGAACAGGAUUAGAUACCCUAGUAGUC